This 433-nucleotide ribosomal RNA is filed under the name uncultured bacterium. Its description in RNAcentral is "partial 16S ribosomal RNA". It matches the Rfam family "Bacterial small subunit ribosomal RNA", at positions 29 to 507 of the family's 1533-position model. The record is from RNAcentral.
AACGAACGCUGGCGGCAUGCCUAACACAUGCAAGUCGAACGAGACCUUCGGGUCUAGUGGCGCACGGGUGCGUAACGCGUGGGAACCUGCCCUUAGGUUCGGAAUAACUCCCCGAAAGGGGUGCUAAUACCGGAUAAUGUCUUCGGACCAAAGAUUUAUCGCCUUUGGAUGGGCCCGCGUUGGAUUAGCUAGUUGGUAGGGUAAAAGCCUACCAAGGCGACGAUCCAUAGCUGGUCUGAGAGGAUGAUCAGCCACACUGGGACUGAGACACGGCCCAGACUCCUACGGGAGGCAGCAGUGGGGAAUAUUGGACAAGGGGCGAAAGCCUGAUCCAGCAAUGCCGCGUGAGUGAUGAAGGCCUGAGGGUUGUAAAGCCCUUUUAACCGGGAUGAUAAUGACAGUACCGGGAGAAUAAGCCCAGGCUAACUCCGUG